Long non-coding RNA from Rhipicephalus sanguineus (brown dog tick), 415 nucleotides. RefSeq lists it as uncharacterized. The transcript has 4 exons. Lineage: Eukaryota; Metazoa; Arthropoda; Arachnida; Ixodida; Ixodidae. The record is from RefSeq and is a predicted model, not a curated record.
CCAUCGCACUGCCUUGCUGGCUGCUCGCCUUUGGAUUGCCCUGCUAGAACACUACAAGGCCAUAUUCACUCCGUUUGCCAGGAGGAGUACCACUCUGCACAGCCAGAAGACGACUCUGCAGCUUUGGAACAUAUUUAUGGUGUCCACUGCUGCGCAAAAUGGUGCAACAGCUCUGGGAACAAGGACGCCGAGCAUUUCUUCAGAGUGCCUACGGACCACAGACUGGAAGCUUGGCUCCACUACGCUGACAGGCCUGACCUUAAGGACAAGCCAAGGACCCAAGUACAUGCAACUUCUGUGCUGUGCUCCAAGCACUUCACAAAGGACUGCUUCACCAGCAGUGACCGCAAAAGACUCGUGCAAGGAGCAGUCCCCUCUGUGAAGGUGCACGAGCCCAGGCUGAGGUCCCUGGUGC